AUUGAACGCUGGCGGUAGGCCUAACACAUGCAAGUCGAACGGCAGCACAGUAAGAGCUUGCUCUUACGGGAGGCGAGUGGCGGACGGGUGAGGGAUACAUCGGAAUCUACUUUUUCGUGGGGGAUAACGUAGGGAAACUUACGCUAAUACCGCAUACGACCUACGGGUGAAAGCAUGGGAUCUUCGGACCUUGCGCGAUUGAAUGAGCCGAUGUCGGAUUAGCUAGUUGGCGGGGUAAAGGCCCACCAAGGCGACGAUCCGUAGCUGGUCUGAGAGGAUGAUCAGCCACACUGGAACUGAGACACGGUCCAGACUCCUACGGGAGGCAGCAGUGGGGAAUAUUGGACAAUGGGCGCAAGCCUGAUCCAGCCAUACCGCGUGGGUGAAGAAGGCCUUCGGGUUGUAAAGCCCUUUUGUUGGGAAAGAAAAGCAGCAGGUUAAUACCCCGCUGUUCUGACGGUACCCAAAGAAUAAGCACCGGCUAACUUCGUG
This 492-nucleotide ribosomal RNA is filed under the name uncultured bacterium. Its description in RNAcentral is "partial 16S ribosomal RNA". It matches the Rfam family "Bacterial small subunit ribosomal RNA", at positions 30 to 507 of the family's 1533-position model. The record is from RNAcentral.